This 427-nucleotide ribosomal RNA is filed under the name uncultured bacterium. RNAcentral describes it as "partial 16S ribosomal RNA". It matches the Rfam family "Bacterial small subunit ribosomal RNA", at positions 355 to 774 of the family's 1533-position model. The record is from RNAcentral.
UGGGGAAUAUUGGACAAUGGGCGAAAGCCUGAUCCAGCCAUGCCGCGUGUGUGAAGAAGGUCUUCGGAUUGUAAAGCACUUUAAGUUGGGAGGAAGGGCAUUAACCUAAUACGUUAGUGUUUUGACGUUACCGACAGAAUAAGCACCGGCUAACUCUGUGCCAGCAGCCGCGGUAAUACAGAGGGGGCAAGCGUUAGUCGGAAUUACGGGGCGUAAAGCGCGCGUAGGUGGUUUGUUAAGUUGGAUGUGAAAUCCCCGGGCUCAACCUGGGAACUGCAUUCAAAACUGACUGACUAGAGUAUGGUAGAGGGUGGUGGAAUUUCCUGUGUAGCGGUGAAAUGCGUAGAUAUAGGAAGGAACACCAGUGGCGAAGGCGACCACCUGGACUAAUACUGACACUGAGGUGCGAAAGCGUGGGGAGCAAACA